RNAcentral lists this ribosomal RNA (843 nucleotides) under Salmonella enterica subsp. enterica serovar Frintrop. RNAcentral describes it as "partial 23S ribosomal RNA". It matches the Rfam family "Bacterial large subunit ribosomal RNA", at positions 704 to 1547 of the family's 2925-position model. The record is from RNAcentral. Lineage: Bacteria; Pseudomonadati; Pseudomonadota; Gammaproteobacteria; Enterobacterales; Enterobacteriaceae.
AGGGUAUAGACCCGAAACCCGGUGAUCUAGCCAUGGGCAGGUUGAAGGUUGGGUAACACUAACUGGAGGACCGAACCGACUAAUGUUGAAAAAUUAGCGGAUGACCUGUGGCUGGGGGUGAAAGGCCAAUCAAACCGGGAGAUAGCUGGUUCUCCCCGAAAGCUAUUUAGGUAGCGCCUCGUGAAUUCAUCUCCGGGGGUAGAGCACUGUUUCGGCUAGGGGGCCAUCCCGGCUUACCAACCCGAUGCAAACUGCGAAUACCGGAGAAUGUUAUCACGGGAGACACACGGCGGGUGCUAACGUCCGUCGUGAAGAGGGAAACAACCCAGACCGCCAGCUAAGGUCCCAAAGUCAUGGUUAAGUGGGAAACGAUGUGGGAAGGCCCAGACAGCCAGGAUGUUGGCUUAGAAGCAGCCAUCAUUUAAAGAAAGCGUAAUAGCUCACUGGUCGAGUCGGCCUGCGCGGAAGAUGUAACGGGGCUAAACCAUGCACCGAAGCUGCGGCAGCGACACUCAGGUGUUGUUGGGUAGGGGAGCGUUCUGUAAGCCUGUGAAGGUGUGCUGUGAGGCAUGCUGGAGGUAUCAGAAGUGCGAAUGCUGACAUAAGUAACGAUAAAGCGGGUGAAAAGCCCGCUCGCCGGAAGACCAAGGGUUCCUGUCCAACGUUAAUCGGGGCAGGGUGAGUCGACCCCUAAGGCGAGGCCGAAAGGCGUAGUCGAUGGGAAACGGGUUAAUAUUCCCGUACUUGGUGUUACUGCGAAGGGGGGACGGAGAAGGCUAUGUUGGCCGGGCGACGGUUGUCCCGGUUUAAGCGUGUAGGUGUGUGUUCCAGGUAAAUCCGGUU